GGGGGUGUAGCUCAUUUGGCAGAGCGCGUCAUUAGCAUCUUCUUUUCGAAAGAUUCUUGACGAGGUACUGGGUUCAAUUCCCAGCUCCUCCA
Cryptococcus neoformans is the source of this 92-nucleotide transfer RNA. It matches the Rfam family "tRNA". From Rfam's summary of the family: Transfer RNA (tRNA) molecules are approximately 80 nucleotides in length. Lineage: Eukaryota; Fungi; Basidiomycota; Tremellomycetes; Tremellales; Cryptococcaceae. The record is from Rfam.